AGAGUUUGAUCCUGGCUCAGGAUGAACGCUAGCUACAGGCUUAACACAUGCAAGUCGAGGGGCAGCAUCAUCAAAGCUUGCUUUGAUGGAUGGCGACCGGCGCACGGGUGAGUAACACGUAUCCAACCUGCCGAUGACUCGGGGAUAGCCUUUCGAAAGAAAGAUUAAUACCCGAUGGCAUAGUUUUUCCGCAUGGUAGAACUAUUAAAGAAUUUCGGUCAUCGAUGGGGAUGCGUUCCAUUAGGUUGUUGGCGGGGUAACGGCCCACCAAGCCUUCGAUGGAUAGGGGUUCUGAGAGGAAGGUCCCCCACAUUGGAACUGAGACACGGUCCAAACUCCUACGGGAGGCAGCAGUGAGGAAUAUUGGUCAAUGGACGAGAGUCUGAACCAGCCAAGUAGCGUGAAGGAUGACUGCCCUAUGGGUUGUAAACUUCUUUUAUACGGGAAUAAAGUGAGGCACGCGUGCCUUUUUGUAUGUACCGUAUGAAUAAGGAUCGGCUAACUCCGUGCCAGCAGCCGCGGUAAUACGGAGGAUCCGAGCGUUAUCCGGAUUUAUUGGGUUUAAAGGGAGCGUAGGCGGGUUGUUAAGUCAGUUGUGAAAGUUUGCGGCUCAACCGUAAAAUUGCAGUUGAUACUGGCGACCUUGAGUGCAACAGAGGUAGGCGGAAUUCGUGGUGUAGCGGUGAAAUGCUUAGAUAUCACGAAGAACUCCGAUUGCGAAGGCAGCUUACUGGAUUGUAACUGACGCUGAUGCUCGAAAGUGUGGGUAUCAAACAGGAUUAGAUACCCUGGUAGUCCACACAGUAAACGAUGAAUACUCGCUGUUGGCGAUAUACAGUCAGCGGCCAAGCGAAAGCAUUAAGUAUUCCACCUGGGGAGUACGCCGGCAACGGUGAAACUCAAAGGAAUUGACGGGGGCCCGCACAAGCGGAGGAACAUGUGGUU
Molecule: ribosomal RNA, 945 nt
Filed under: uncultured bacterium
Lineage: Bacteria
Description: bacterial SSU rRNA
Rfam family: Bacterial small subunit ribosomal RNA
Source: RNAcentral